UACGUAGGGGGCAAGCGUUGUCCGGAUUUAUUGGCGUAAAGAGCGUGUAGGCGGCUUUACAGGUCCGUUGUGAAAACUCGAGGCUCAACCUCGAGACGCCGGUGGAAACCGUAAAGCUAGAGUCCGGAAGAGGAGAGUGGAAUUCCUGGUGUAGCGGUGAAAUGCGCAGAUAUCAGGAGGAACACCCGUGGCGAAAGCGGCUCUCUGGGACGGUACUGACGCUGAGACGCGAAAGCGUGGGGAGCAAACAGG
Molecule: ribosomal RNA, 252 nt
Filed under: uncultured bacterium
Lineage: Bacteria
Description: partial 16S ribosomal RNA
Rfam family: Bacterial small subunit ribosomal RNA
Source: RNAcentral